This 253-nucleotide ribosomal RNA is filed under the name uncultured bacterium. RNAcentral describes it as "partial 16S ribosomal RNA". It matches the Rfam family "Bacterial small subunit ribosomal RNA", at positions 524 to 776 of the family's 1533-position model. The record is from RNAcentral.
UACGUAGGGUGCAAGCGUUAAUCGGAAUUACUGGGCGUAAAGCGUGCGCAGGCGGUUAUGCAAGACAGAUGUGAAAUCCCCGGGCUCAACCUGGGAACUGCAUUUGUGGCUGCAUGGCUGGAGUGCGGCAGAGGGGGAUGGAAUUCCGCGUGUAGCAGUGAAAUGCGUAGAUAUGCGGAGGAACACCGAUGGCGAAGGCAAUCCCCUGGGCCUGCACUGACGCUCAUGCACGAAAGCGUGGGGAGCAAACAGG